AUGGAAGCUCCGGCGGUGGACGAGCAUGGUGGCUCGGUACCUCCUGUUCGAACAGAGAGAAAGAGCGAGCACAGGAUGGAGGAAGGAGAGAACAAGAGGAAGGAUAGGGAGAGGAGGAAGGAAGGGCGGCUCUGGGUAGCUGAUUCCGGCGGGGGUCGCCGGCAUCGAGGUGGCGAGGCGAGGCCGGGUGCGCUGGCUUCUCCAUCACUUCUGGUUCCCCACCGUGGCUGCAGGCCUCCUCUCCCUCUCCAUCUUGCGCUCCUCCUGCUCCACUUCAUGUCCGGCCGUGGCUGGCCACAUCUAAACAGAUUACUAAUACAGUGA
RNAcentral lists this ribosomal RNA (324 nucleotides) under Triticum aestivum (bread wheat). RNAcentral describes it as "partial small subunit ribosomal RNA". The record is from RNAcentral. Lineage: Eukaryota; Viridiplantae; Streptophyta; Magnoliopsida; Poales; Poaceae.